This is a non-coding RNA of Pelobates cultripes (western spadefoot toad), 240 nucleotides long. The record is from the annotation of a GenBank genome assembly. Lineage: Eukaryota; Metazoa; Chordata; Amphibia; Anura; Pelobatidae.
GAGAAAAUGCAGUGUUUACAUUACAGCCUAGUGAUAACUUCACUGGCCACUCCUCAGAUGGCUGUUAGAGAUCCUUCCUGGGUCAUGGCUGCCUAAAAUACAUCCAAACAUUCAGUGUCUCCUCCCUCUGCAUGCAGACACUGAACUUUCCUCAUAGAGAUUCAUUGAUUCAAUUCAUCUCUAUGAGGAGAUGCUGAUUGGCCAGGGCGGUGUUUGAAUCAUGCUGGCUCUGCCCCUGAU